This 1278-nucleotide long non-coding RNA is filed under the name Bos indicus x Bos taurus (hybrid cattle). RNAcentral describes it as "lncRNA (ENSBIXG00000002272.1)". The record is from RNAcentral. Lineage: Eukaryota; Metazoa; Chordata; Mammalia; Artiodactyla; Bovidae.
UCCCGGGCGGGGAGGCGUGGGGCCGGCUGGGGGCGGUGCGAGGCCGGGGCGGGGUGGGGGGAGGGGCGGGUGUCGGUGAGCGCGGCGAGCGGGUUCCUAGUGGCUGCGGGCGGCCUGGGCUGCCGGGGCCGCCGCCUGGGUCGCUGCCGCCGCCGCCGCCGCGCCUGCUGAGAGAUGGCGGUUUUGGGCGCCGAAGGCUGAGGGCGCUCGCCUGUGGAGGAGGCGCCGCCGCCGGGGCCGCCGGGAGCCGACGGCUUCGCGCCGGGUUUCGGAGUUGAGCUUCCUUUGCUUCACCGUGAUUCUAUGAAACCUUCAUCACCAAAGAAGAAAAGUAUUUGUUACGUUUGCAUUUUUGCUCUUCCAGGAUAAAAAUUUUUUCCAGGGCUUUUCAUGUGGCUUUCUUUUCCUGUUUGCUUGGUUUUUAUCUCUCUGCGUAGCUAGUGUGCAAAAGAUGUGAGUUUCUGCUUUAAAAUGUUACUGGUAAUAGUAGUGUAAGGGAUACAGUCCAAAGUUACCUUCCUUCUCUUUGGAUUUUUGUUUUUUGCCUGAAAUACCUGGUGUACAGUUGUAUGUACAUUUCUGCAAGGGCUCAUGCUUAUGUGUAAAUCCACUCUACCUGUCUCAUUAAGUCUGUAUGUAUUAUGUAAGCGAAAUGGACCUUUUAAAGAAGGAAGGCAUUCUUUUAUUUAUAUGACUUGUUUUUAGUCAUAAAGUAGAUAAUUAUCUGUGGCUGAAUUUAUCACUUUUCAUAAAUAGUUAAUAUUUUUUAAAUUGAAAACAGUGUUGGGAGCUCUUCAAAUUGAGAAGUGUAAAGUAUGUGGGAAAACCUUUCUUUCUCAGGUAGCUUAUUAACAUUUUUAAAUGGGUCUUCCCUUAUAAUGCAAAACUUUAUAUGACCUACCACAUAGGGGCUUUGAAAGGCAGUAACAAAAGGUUACAUUUUUGGAAGCUAGAAUGUUGCAUGUAAGGUCUCUGCCUUCAAGAGAUAAUAAUCUGCUUAUCCUGUGAAGGCUGAAAUUUCUUCUACUUCCUUACACGAUUAUUAAGCAUCUACUGCAUGACUGCAGUGUAUUUGGGGGAAUAUGAAGAUGAGGGUGUUAACACUUUCUGCCUUCAAGGACUAGUUAGGCAGGAAGUUCUGUACACAAAUGUCUAAUUUGUCUUUUAAUACAUAACAUUAAAAGAAUCUGAAUCAUAUUGAAUUCAGAUUCAUAGGGGUUAGAGCUCACAUCUUAUUUCAAGGUGAGAAUUAGAGGGGUUAUUUCAUAGAGCUUCUGG